Molecule: long non-coding RNA, 934 nt
Organism: Pezoporus occidentalis (night parrot)
Lineage: Eukaryota; Metazoa; Chordata; Aves; Psittaciformes; Psittacidae
Exons: 3
Source: RefSeq, a predicted model, not a curated record
AGAGUCUGCAUCCAGCCUUUUGUCUUCGGUGAAGAUUAGCAAGUCUCCCUUCUUGAAGGACAGGAUGGCAGGGUCUUCUGGGAAACAGAAUAAGGGAGUACUGUUCAGGCUUGACAGUCAAAGAAAAUGCAAAGUGAUUGCAACGUGAAAGACAAGGGAAUUGUAUUUUGAAGGCCUGACUUCAAUUAGUAAUAGUAAGUGAUUUGUGUAAAUACAGCUAAUUAUCUAGUAAGACUUCAGAGAAAUCACAUUUCCUCUGACAGCCCGAUUUUGGUGCACUGAGGGCAAUGGCAAAACUCUAUUUGAUUUAAAUGAAUGCUGACCUUGUGUGUAGAACUGGUAGCAAAUCAUAUAAAGAAACUCAGUAGCUGUAAGUAGGUGAAGUUAAUGUUUACAUUUUAAUCCCCUUUUGUCUGUUCCAGCCAACUGUAUUCCACAGAAAAUUCCAGUUUACCAUCUCUCUGAAGUUCUUCUGGAAACUAUUUCCAGGGAGCCUAGAUCCAGUUUCCUACUAUAAGCAGGCUGAGUUGUUGGACACUGUACUAUCUAAAUAAAAUACUCAAAGAAGUAGAAGGAGGAAGGAAAGUCCUUCCAGGAACAUGACCACCAGUUCAGCAAUGACAACGCUGUUUACAGAUGUCAGGACAAACUCCUCGGCACGAAGUGUAAUGAGAGUACAACUCUGUCCAAAUGUCUUCACUGCCCUAUGUAGUAUUGAACAGUUUGUUACCAGAGCAUCUGAAAGAGUUACAGACACACCUGCAAUUACAGCCAAGGCACCUACACCUCUUUGCAGACAACUCCCUUACAAAGGAUGAAUAAGGAGACCCACCUUCUCACAGCGAUACUCUCCAAACCGGAUGCCUCGAAUGACUUGGUGGUAAAUGAGAUCAGUGCUGAUAGGAUCCUCCUGGGAGUUGUGCCAGGGGGUGAA